ACAUACAUACAUACAUACAUACAUACAUAUAUGUAUAUAUGUGUAUGUAUGUAUGUAUGUGUGUAUAUAUACAUACAUACAUACAUACAUACAUACAAGCAUGCAUACUUGCUCUGCAAGGGUCGUGGCUUUUGUGGCGCGAUGGGUAACGAUGCUUCGUGGGGUGUCAGUUGUUGAUGUGUGCAGAGGGUCCCUGGUUCAAGCCCAGGUUGGGGCGAGGAGAGGGACGGAAGCUAAACUGUUACACAUACCUAUUCACUAAAAGUAUACUUUAAAAAAAGAACAGUCUUAGAAAAAUACUUUUUAAAAUCAAUUAGUAUAUUUCAGUUUAACCACUUUGUUCUGUCUUUUCAAGUGGAUUAAACUGAAAUUGCAACCAACUUUCUAAGGCUUUUUUUAAACGAUAUGAGAUUAUUUUAUUUUCAAACAACCGAAAGCUAAUGUUAGCUAACAUAAUUAGACUACCAGUAUAUCAUUAACGUUGACGUUAAUUACUUUAAACCAAAAGAUAGUGCAAGCUAAUGAAACUAACGUUAACGCUAAAUUGUCGCCCAUAUUGAAAAUCUUCGUUAACCUUUGCUUGCCAAACUAAGAUUGUAGACAAUGACAGACACCAUCGAUAAUUUAGCUUCGUCGUCUUUGGCGCCAUUUCUAUUGUCAAUAGAAAGGGUGCCAAAGACGGGGAAGCUAAAUAAUCCACGGUGUCAGUCAUUAGGGCACAUUUACACCUCAUUAACGAUCAUUAACCCAUCUUAGAUUGUAACAAACUUCGCACCGCAAAGAUUAACAUAUUUCCACAAAUAACAUUUGAGUUAAAUUAUGAAUGGUCGUCAGGAGAGGACGGCAUGGAUCAUAUAGCAAUCGCAGUAUUAAAAGGUAAUGUUCAUUUGUUUAUACCCGUCUACCUUUCGCCUUAGCAAGGUAACGUUAGCUAACGUUCAUUUGAAUUUGAAAGUUGGCAAACCCAAGUUAGCAUGCUAAUUUUAACUAGGUAACGUUAGCUAACGUUCAUUUGAAUUGGAAAGUUGGCAAACCCAAGUUAGCAUGCUAAUUUUAACUAGGUAACGUUGACUGUUGGCAGUUAAUAACUAAAAAACGGCCAUUCAGUUUAAAACACUUGAACUUUGGUUAGAUUGAUAGUGCUUUAUUGUCAGAAAGUGUUAAUGAGGUGUAAAUGUUAGUUUGUUACAAUCUAAGAUGGAUAAUGAUCGUUAAUGUAAUUAACGGUUAUUAGAACACCUGUAAUGCGGAGUGAUACAUGUAUAGUUAAAAGUCCCAGUGCUGUUAAUCUACUACAAUCAAAUUACUUCGUCUAUCAUAAAUACUUGUGAACAUUUUCAGUUCUUUCCGCCCUUUUACUUGCGUUUGCUUUUAGUAACAUUCAAGAUGCUUUUGGCGGUGCGUUAUCUGCGGCGUUUUUAUUACUUCCUUAUUUGCAUUUCAGUCAUUUAGCAGACGCUCUUAUCCAGAGCGACUCACAGUAGUGAAUACAUACAUUUCAUUUUUUGUUGUUGUACUGGCCCCCCGUGGGAAUCGAACCCACAACCCUGGCUUUGCAAACACCAUGCUCUACCAACUGAGCCAUAUCAAUAGAUUGCACAGUCGCAGCCCUGAUUUCUAGUUGCUCUGUGGUAUUGACGGAUGCACUGAGGAAUAUAGAGUGUACAAUUCCUUCUAUCAACGUGUAAAGAGAAACCACCUUCAACACUUACUUGAAGGCACCCGACCAGAUGAACAGCCAUCGGAGGAAAAUCAAGUACCACCCGAACAAGUAAGUAGCUAGCAAGCAUUUUUUUGUUGUUGUCUGGAUUUACAAAAAUAAUUUAAUGAACGGACGAUACACAGACCAAAGUCAUACUGUCCAUUGGCUAUUCGAUAAUUUUAGCUAUAAUGACUCUUAUGGCAAACGCUGAGUUAAUGUGAAAAUAAUCAAUGAUAAAUAGGAACAAAACACUUAAAUAACUCUUGGUGAAACUAAAUACAAUUUCAAAUAAUAAUCUGUUUCUUUGAUGUGUGGUAUACAGGACAACAUUCAACCCGAUCAGCUUCUAGCUAACUCCAUACAUCUGACUCAGAUGAAGGGCAAAGGGGCAUUGACCAACAUGGAGCUGUCACAGUGCAACAAAAAGGUGUGAAUGACAUUGUUGCUGGUGUACAGCAGUAUCAAUCACCACUAUUGGACAACCUCAGGAAGCAGAUGGAGGCAGUGCUAAAGAAGCAUUCAGGAAGCACAUCAGGUCAACUUGGAAAAGAUGCAAUGGAUAUUUGACAAUUUCAUUGACCAUUUUGCUGGCAUUGCAACAACAGGACAGUGUUAUUAAGAAGCAGUUUAGCUGUUUGGACGUAGAGGAAAUUCCAAUUGCUGGAACCAGUGUGGAGGAGGAUAAAUACAUUUUCAUCAAAGACAAAUUAUUUCAUUAUGUACCAUUAGUCAAAAGUCUAGAACAUUUCUUAACACACCCAAUGAUUUUGUCUGUGGUUGAAAAGGGACCUAAGAUGUGCAGGGAAAGUUGUUUUCAUGACAUUGUUGAUGGUGCUCUUCUAAAAUCACAUGCCUUUGGUUUCUCUGAAAAUAAGGGAUUGCAGAUUGUUCUGUACACGGAUGAAAUAGAGAUCUGUAAUCCACUAGGAUCUUUUGCAUCAAAAAACAAGUUGUUAAUGGUGUACUACACCCUAGGAAAUAUAAAUCCAAAAUACAGGUCUAAACUGGCUGCUAUCAGGCUACUUGCCAUGGCUAGAUUAGCAGACCUCUGUCAAUCUGGUGUAGAUGAAAUAUUGAAUAGAAUCAAGGAAGACAUGGAUGCAUUGUACAGUGGGGUUAAAAUGCUAACUAUUAACAGAGAAAACAAUAUAUGGUGCCAUGGUCUCUCUGUGGAGACACCCUGGCACAACAUGAACUAGCAGGGUUCAAAGAGGGUGUGGGCUUUGCCUACAGUAAGUGCAGACACUGAGUGUUCUUUUGAGGACAUGCAGUCACACUUCAAUGAGGAUGCAUACACUAAAAGGACAUUGGAGAAGCAUGUCAGAGAGUGUGAUGAAAUAGAAAAGGCACAGACGGACUUGCUUCGCAACAGCCUGAGAACAACAAAUGGGAUCAAUAGAAAGGAGCAAGUUAGUUGAAUUCCCAGCCUUUGAUAUCAUACAACAAACUCCAAUAAACAUUAUGCAUGUAAUUCUGGAGGGCGUAGCCCCAUUGGAAAUCAAAUGUGUUUUGAAUCUUCUUGUGUCAGGACAGAUUGAUCUGGACUCAGUGAAUUCUGCGAUUCUUGGUUUUCCCUAUUCCCCUCCAGAUGUUAGAGAUGGGCCAUCCCCAAUUUCUGUUAGUGAUGGUAAACUUAAACAGUCAUCUGGGCAAAUGCUUGUCCUGCUAAGGAUAUUGCCAUUUGUUUUGGAGACUUUGGAAGUCGAUGCAUAUAUACACGACUGAUAAUUGAGCUAAUAGAGAUUGUACAGAUGGUAUUCGCAUACUCAUUGAAAAUCAUUUGAAGCAUUGGAAGGAACUUUUUCCAGACCGCAAUGUUACACCUAAACAGCAUUAUAUGAUACAUUUGCCAUCACAGAUAAAGUCAUUGGGUCCAAUGGUUAGACAUAUGUGUAUGCGGUUCGAGUCUAAACAUUUUUCUUUAAACAAUGGGCUUCCAAGCUGAAUUAAAAAAAUAUUUGCAAGUCUUUGAUCAAUCAGAACCAAAUAUAUGAAGCUGCCAAAAUGUUGACAGUUCAAUACACCCACUUUUUUUCAAAUGAAAGGGAGAUGGGACCUGUAUCAGAGGUUAAAGAUCUACAAUAUUUAUGUGGAAAAGUGAGGGACUUCCUAGGUUUCAAUGAAGUAAACCAUGCUGUAUCAGUCAAAUGGCUUGUAAUAAAUACAUCAUUCAGAAGUCCAUGGUAAUAUGCCAGAAUUUGGACUGGUAAAAAACAUAAUUUGUUGUUGAUUCUAGGCUUUAUUGUUUGGAAUAUCAACCAUUUCAAACUAUACGCUUUGAUAGAAACGUCAUGACUUAUCAAGUUGAGGUCCCACACCUUGCACAGGCCACUGAGUUGAUUUUACCUCUUAUUACACAAUUAGCAACAAGAGCCAAACUUAUGUACAAGUUAAAUACCAUCUUGGGGAUGUAAUAGAAUUGUACAACAGUUCAAAUGACUCAUAGUGUGUUCCCCAGAUAUGAAAAGUGUACUGUCAUUGUUCUGUACUGUAUUUGUCUACAUGAUUGCUGUGCUGUGUGUAAGAUUGACAAUAGAACAGUGAAUUCCAUUUGGUCAUUACCUGUUCUUAAUAUGUGAAGCGAUGAAAAGGAUAAGAUAGAUGCUUGAAAUAAGAA
Molecule: non-coding RNA, 4319 nt
Organism: Salmo salar (Atlantic salmon)
Lineage: Eukaryota; Metazoa; Chordata; Actinopteri; Salmoniformes; Salmonidae
Source: RefSeq, a predicted model, not a curated record